CAGUUCAAUACCCACGGGGAAAUUCAACCCUUCUGAGCUCGGGUCUCGUGGGUUUUGAAGAGUUUUCAAAAGCUCUUCGGAUUCGCGGGGAUUGGGAUCUCUUGGUGUACUUUUUCGUACGGUUAGUCAAACAUCGGUUUUGGAUGUCAAUAAAAAUGGCUGGAGGAAUGUAGCUUCGAUCUCGUAUUGAAGUGUUAUAGCUCUUUGGUAGAUGUGAUGUUUGAGACCGAGGAUUGCAACGGAUACCCCUUCAGGGCUAUUCGUCUGAUCUCUGAUACGUUGCCUUGAUGUUGAAAGCUUGCUUAUGAUGUUAGGGUAUUACGGUCAAAAGGUUAGAACGGAUUAGA
This 347-nucleotide ribosomal RNA is filed under the name uncultured Glomeromycotina. Its description in RNAcentral is "eukaryotic LSU rRNA". Lineage: Eukaryota; Fungi; Glomeromycota. The record is from RNAcentral.